Molecule: long non-coding RNA, 254 nt
Filed under: Elaeis guineensis (African oil palm)
Lineage: Eukaryota; Viridiplantae; Streptophyta; Magnoliopsida; Arecales; Arecaceae
Description: long non-coding RNA (EGUI_LNC006904)
Source: RNAcentral
UGGCAUCUAACCAUAGUGAGGUUAAACUUUUAACAGAGCUACCAUGAGGAUCCUCCUCAACCAACAUGAGAUCUGGUGCUGCAGGAGAAUCUUGGCCAGCAAAAAGUUAUGCAGGGGCUAUGCAACAUGCGGAUCCCACAAGAAAUAUUUGCUAUUUAUAGAACUCGUUUGAUUGACGAGAAGUGCAGAGGAAAAGAGGUAAUUUUUGGAAAGUCGAAAGGGUGCCUCUUGUUUGAUUGAAAUUUUAAGAGAAA